RNAcentral lists this ribosomal RNA (429 nucleotides) under Actinomycetes bacterium. RNAcentral's name for it is "Actinobacteria bacterium partial 16S ribosomal RNA". It matches the Rfam family "Bacterial small subunit ribosomal RNA", at positions 355 to 776 of the family's 1533-position model. The record is from RNAcentral. Lineage: Bacteria; Bacillati; Actinomycetota; Actinomycetes.
UAGGGAAUCUUCCGCAAUGGGCGAAAGCCUGACGGAGCAACGCCGCGUGAGGGAUGAAGGUCUUCGGAUCGUAAAACUCUGUUAUUAGGGAAGAACAAAUGUGUAAGUAACUAUGCACGUCUUGACGGUACCUAAUCAGAAAGCCACGGCUAACUACGUGCCAGCAGCCGCGGUAAUACGUAGGUGGCAAGCGUUAUCCGGAAUUAUUGGGCGUAAAGCGCGCGUAGGCGGUUUUUUAAGUCUGAUGUGAAAGCCCACGGCUCAACCGUGGAGGGUCAUUGGAAACUGGAAGACUUGAGUGCAGAAGAGGAAAGUGGAAUUCCAUGUGUAGCGGUGAAAUGCGCAGAGAUAUGGAGGAACACCAGUGGCGAAGGCGACUUUCUGGUCUGUAACUGACGCUGAUGUGCGAAAGCGUGGGGAUCAAACAGG